RNAcentral lists this ribosomal RNA (271 nucleotides) under uncultured prokaryote. Its description in RNAcentral is "partial 16S ribosomal RNA". It matches the Rfam family "Bacterial small subunit ribosomal RNA", at positions 524 to 794 of the family's 1533-position model. The record is from RNAcentral.
UACGUGGGGGGCAAGCGUUGUCCGGAAUUACUGGGCGUAAAGGGUGCGUAGGCGGCCUAAUAAGUCAGAUGUGAAAUACCGAGGCUCAACCUCGGAGGUGCAUUUGAAACUGUUGGGCUUGAGUGCAGGAGAGGAGAGUGGAAUUCCUAGUGUAGCGGUGAAAUGCGUAGAUAUUAGGAGGAACACCAGUUGCGAAGGCGGCUCUCUGGACUGUAACUGACACUGAGGCACGAAAGCGUGGGGAGCAAACAGGAUUAGAUACCCGGGUAGU